This 963-nucleotide ribosomal RNA is filed under the name Triticum aestivum (bread wheat). RNAcentral describes it as "partial small subunit ribosomal RNA". The record is from RNAcentral. Lineage: Eukaryota; Viridiplantae; Streptophyta; Magnoliopsida; Poales; Poaceae.
AUGGCUAAAGGCCCAAAGGUAUCACACCCCGAGUAUGUUGAUUUCAAUAGUGAUGAAGAUGACUUGUUAGGUGAUGAUGAUUUACUUGUUGACAACUCUAGUGAUGAAUACUAUGAUGAAACGUCAAUUAAUCAUGCUAAUCAAGAUAAAAUGAAUGACAAUGAUAAGGAGAAGAUUGAGUCUCUAACUAAAGAACUAAACACUCUUAAGUUAGCUCAUGAAACUAUCUUAGGAGAUCAUCGAGAACUUUUAAGGACUCAUGAGAAAUUGCGCUUUGAAAAGCUCAACCUUGAGCAAGAGCAUGAGUUCUUAAAAGCAACCAAUGAUGAUCUUCGUAAGAAAAGUUCUUCUUACAUUGCCAAGCGUUUACUCUUAUCCACUUACAUGCCUCAAGUCAAGUUUAGUAACAAGAACAAGAAAGAUUCUUCCUCUAGUAGUAACAAUAAUCAUGCUAAAUCCAAUAUUGUUGCUUCUAGUAGUUCUCUUGAUUCCACUAAUGAUUCUCUUAGCCAAGUUACACUUGAUCAAGAAAAUAGCUUAUUGAAGGGAAUUAUAGAGAAAGGUGUUUACAAGAGCCUUGCCGGAAGUAAGCAAUUCGAGGAAAUUGUACGCAAGCAAGGAAGGCACCGGAAGAAUCAAGGUGUUGGUUUUGAACGAAAGUUCAAUGCCAAUGGAGUUGAGUGGGAAGAAGAUCAAUACCCCAAGACAAAGUUUAUUCCUCAACAAGAGAAGUAUGAUCCUACUUCUCUCAAAGGGACACAAGCUCAAGAUGAUCUUCCACCACAAGACCACAAGCAAAAAGGCAAGGACAAGCUUCAAGAGGAAAUUGAUGCAUUUGAAGAAGCCCCUAAGGCCUUGGUCAAGUGGGUUCCCAAGACUACUUCAAGUUCCACUUCAUCAAGUACAACUACAACACCGAGGAUUCCCAUCAAGAUGGUGUGGAUCCCGAAGAAGAAUAACUAG